Molecule: ribosomal RNA, 508 nt
Filed under: uncultured bacterium
Lineage: Bacteria
Description: partial 16S ribosomal RNA
Rfam family: Bacterial small subunit ribosomal RNA
Source: RNAcentral
AACUAGCCGGUACUCGCCGAAUGCAUCUAGAUUUAGAGUUUGAUCAUGGCUCAGAUUGAACGCUGGCGGCAGGCCUAACACAUGCAAGUCGAGCGGCAGCACAAGUAAGUUUACUUAUGAGGUGGCGAGCGGCGGACGGGUGAGUAAUGCCUAGGGAUCUGCCCAGUCGAGGGGGAUAACAGUUGGAAACGACUGCUAAUACCGCAUACGCCCUACGGGGGAAAGAGGGGGACCUUCGGGCCUCUCGCGAUUGGAUGGGAAAAAAAAAAAAAUACCCCCACAACCCCUAUCAAUACACAAGNAUUUUUUUUUUUUCACAAAAAACAAANNGGACAAAAUGGGGGGGGGUCGAUAAAUUUUUUUUUGCGUGGGGGGGCACACNGGGGGGGGUUGUGGGGGGGACAAAAAAAAAAAAAAUUCUUUUUUUUUUUUUAUCAUUUUUUAACAACAACAAUAGAGAGGGGGCGAACCACCCCCCCACACAACAACACUUUUUUUUUUUUUUAAG